CAGUAGCCGCGGGAAUACAGAGGGUGCGAGCGUUAAUCGGAUUUACUGGGCGUAAAGCGUGCGUAGGCGGCUUUUUAAGUCGGAUGUGAAAUCCCUGAGCUUAACUUAGGAAUUGCAUUCGAUACUGGGAAGCUAGAGUAUGGGAGAGGAUGGUAGAAUUCCAGGUGUAGCGGUGAAAUGCGUAGAGAUCUGGAGGAAUACCGAUGGCGAAGGCAGCCAUCUGGCCUAAUACUGACGCUGAGGUACGAAAGCGUGGGGAGCAAACAGGAUUAGAUACCCCCGUAGUCCCUGUCUCUUAUAC
RNAcentral lists this ribosomal RNA (301 nucleotides) under uncultured bacterium. RNAcentral's name for it is "partial 16S ribosomal RNA". It matches the Rfam family "Bacterial small subunit ribosomal RNA", at positions 509 to 807 of the family's 1533-position model. The record is from RNAcentral.